CCUACGGGUGGCAGCAGUGGGGAAUAUUGCACAAUGGGGGAAACCCUGAUGCAGCGACGCCGCGUGAGUGAGGAAGUAUUUCGGUAUGGAAAGCUCUAUCAGCAGGGAAGAAAAUGACGGUACCUGACUAAGAAGCCCCGGCUAACUACGUGCCAGCAGCCGCUGUAAUACGUAGGGGGCAAGCGUUAUCCGGAUUUAAUGGGUGUAAAGGGAGCGUAGACGGCUAAUCAAGUCAGAAGUGAAAACCCAGGGCUCAACUUUGGGACUGCCUUUGAAACUGGGGAGCUAGAGUGCAGGAGAGGUAAGCGGAAUUCCUAGUGUAGCGGUGAAAUGCGUAGAUAUUAGGCGGAACACCAGUGGCGAAGGCGGCAUACCGG
This 377-nucleotide ribosomal RNA is filed under the name uncultured bacterium. RNAcentral's name for it is "partial 16S ribosomal RNA". It matches the Rfam family "Bacterial small subunit ribosomal RNA", at positions 338 to 732 of the family's 1533-position model. The record is from RNAcentral.